GCAUCUUUUCUAAUGCUUGAUUUACAAGCUGCUCUGACAGCCGAGUAAAAAGCUUAAUCUGCUCGUUUAACCAGGGUAUUUAAAUAGUCUGAUAUACAUACGUAUAUAUAAUACACUGUCCAAGUAAAAAUCCUUGUAUUUGUGUAGUGCUGUGCAUUCUGACGGAUCCCGAUGCGUUUUACAUACAGGAAGGAGCCCACAGCGCAACGUGCCACGGGAGGGCAGCACCGUCCUGUGAUUCAAGGGAGCCAUUACCCACUAACAGCCCCCCUGCACAAGAUCAGGAAGGUUCCCACUGCUUGAAGGAAGCAGGUGACUUUCACUGGCAAGGCUGUGAGGUCGCAGAUACUCAACUCAUCCUUGGCUGGUGGAUCCCCCCAGCAUUGCUGUAGUUUGUUCAUUUUUAUCCACAGUCAGCUUAUGACAUGGCCAGUGCACUGCUUUCAACAACGCACCUGGAGCUUGUUCCAUUCUGCUGCAACCCUCUGUGUAAAGAAGUGCCUCCUGUUCUCUGUUUAAAUGCACUUCUACAGAGUUUCCAAUUGUGUUCUCUAGUUUGUUGGUUCUGAAGAAGUCAGCUGGGUUGACUUUGAGGAUUUUGACAGCCAACUCCUUGAUUACAUUCAUUACAUUACAGUCUUCUCUAUCCAAGACAAAAAGGGCUUCAGUUCCUUCAGCCUAUCAGUGAAGGACAUUCCUUUAAACCCCAAACUGAGUCUGCUUGCUCAUUUCUGGACUGAUUUGACAGGAUGACACUAUUGACAGGAUGAAGCUGCGUUAAACUGGAUUCUUUCAAGAAACAGCUAGAUGAGCUGAAGACCACCCAGGGUUAGUCAACCAUAUAAGUCCCCAAAGCCUGAGUAUAUGAGAAACUACUUCCCAGUAUAAGUGAUUACUGUUAACACAACUGGUCAUCAUGGAAGACCCCCAAAUCUGACUCCAGUCAAUUCAGACAUCCUUACAAAUAACAUGAAAUGACUCUUGUCACCAGGCAGCAUGACUGCAGUUUGAAAAUUAACAUGGACAGCGGGUUUCCAACAGCACCGGUGCAGCACCGUUCACAACAGUGUCAGUCCUACGUUGCACCUUUGACGACAGCAACAACAAAUCAUUCUUUUCAAUAUGUUCAUACUCGUCCUCAUGCAGCGUGUUGCUUAACACUUUCUGAGUCAGUCAAAGUACCAGUGAGGUAAAAUGGGCAGCUACUGUAUGCAUAUCAUUGUCAAGUCCCACUUAAUAAUGUUUCUCCUCUGACAGCUACGGUACAGAAUGGGUGGAAGAACAUGAUGGGGACCCUCACAGUGCCUGCCUGUUACAUUGCACUGUGGGACAAUGCAUAAAAAGAGUUUGAUUUAACAACAGAAAUAAAACCCUAUUACCUGUUACCAGUAGAUCUAUGUCCCACAGGAUUUAUGGCAACAUCAGUCUCCAGCAGGGGAAGGAAACUAACAGCAGGCUUUCCACUCCUAACAGUGUGGCAAUACAACUGCUCAAAUGAUGAAACAGCUGGAAAGAGUCAUACGAACAGCAUCCAAGAUCAUCGGAUUCGAACGUCCCUCUGUUGCCUCUGUUUGUGACAGCAGCAUCAAACGGAAAGCUAAGAAGGUGUCCACAGACCCUUCCAUCCUGCCAGCUCCUUUUAUAAACAUCUCCGUUUGACGAGAAGGUUUCAAAACAUCAAAUGUAGCACUGCUCGGUUCUGUAAUAGCAGCUGUCUAGAGGCCAUUAGGCACAUAGAUCUUGAUUGUUGAAAGAAUUUCAUGGGAGUGAAUAAAAUCCUUUUGUGAAUAAAAUUGACUGAAUGUUUAAAAGUGUACUGUGUAUGUGGAGUGUUAAAAUGUUGUUUCUGUUAGUUUUCUAUCUGGG
This is a long non-coding RNA of Lepisosteus oculatus (spotted gar), 1866 nucleotides long. RefSeq lists it as uncharacterized. The record is from RefSeq and is a predicted model, not a curated record. NCBI's taxonomy places the organism in Eukaryota, Metazoa, Chordata, Actinopteri, Semionotiformes, Lepisosteidae.